CUUUGGUAACAAUAGAAAUUGGUCUCGUAUUGACUCAAUUGGUCGUCAGUUUUGGGUAUAUAAGACCGCGCUGGCGAGUGGGUGCCACAGAUCCUGAACUAGCAGCAGAAUCAUGAACUUCUACUACAUCUUCACCGUUGCCGCUUUGGGCCUGAUGGCACUGGCUGGAAACGCACACGCGCAGCUAGGCGACAUGACGAAGAACAUUCCUGAUCCAAAGGAAUUCAUGAAACAAACACCCGUCGGCAGAAAGUAAUGAAGAUAUUUUUUUCCAUGCAAUAAAUUUAUUCCUUUAAACUAG
Long non-coding RNA from Plutella xylostella (diamondback moth), 301 nucleotides. RefSeq lists it as uncharacterized. The record is from RefSeq and is a predicted model, not a curated record. NCBI's taxonomy places the organism in Eukaryota, Metazoa, Arthropoda, Insecta, Lepidoptera, Plutellidae.